AUUUCUCUGGUUUAUCAUGAACCAUCUUUUCCAGAAGCCUUCUACCACACAGCCCUCUCAAGAUAACUGGCCAUGACUGUGUCUGAUAGCCAAACUACAGAUAUAGCAAGAUUGGGAAGCCUGGAUCUUAUGAAAAGAACAGACAAAUAUAGCCAGAUAUACCCCUAG
This 168-nucleotide long non-coding RNA is filed under the name Vulpes vulpes (red fox). RNAcentral's name for it is "lncRNA (ENSVVUG00000003170.1)". The record is from RNAcentral. Lineage: Eukaryota; Metazoa; Chordata; Mammalia; Carnivora; Canidae.